Molecule: non-coding RNA, 29 nt
Filed under: Mus musculus (house mouse)
Lineage: Eukaryota; Metazoa; Chordata; Mammalia; Rodentia; Muridae
Source: RNAcentral
UCACUAAUUAUUUUUAGGAGGUGGAAAAA